CUCUUCUAAUAGACAUUGAUGCUAUUUUCUUGGUACAAAUUACUAUAAUUCGACCUUGCCUGUCGUUCUAACCAGCCCCGUAACCUUCAUAACUCCUCCCACUCUCGUGUCUCUUAACUUUCAAGGUUUAUGAUGGUCAGAAUUUGACGAGAGUUGGGUGAAAAUACGAUAUAUAUACAAAUCUGAUGUGAUUAGUUUAUCUUAUGCAAAUGGAUGAUUAAAUCCUGAUUUUUGAAUUGAUAUGUUCACUAUAUUCUAGUUCUUUUUAUUUUGACUAUCAAAAGAGCCUUUAAGGUUGACACUCUCUUUGUUGUUAUAAACCAUCAUUUUAGGCCUAAAACUAUCAAAAGAGCCUUUAAGGUUUUACAAAAAAGGAAUGGGAUUGAAAGGAGUGUGAUGGAACUCAUUCCAUACAAUACCAUCCAUUGAGCUAAAUUUCCAUUCCCCCCAAUUUGAGGUCUAUCCAAUAAAAUGAAAUACAUUAACAAUACAAUGACAACUCUGCCCCUACUUUUUCUAUUUCAUGAACUGCUGCUCCGCCAUCCCUUGAUUUUGUUCAACGUUUCUUAAUUUUCUUGCCUUGCCCCUACGCCUUUCUUUCCUUCUAUUCAGCAUUUCUUCUUUCUUCUUGCCUUUCCCAAGCGUUUCUUCUUGUUUUUACUAGAAUUAAGUCUAUGAAAUUUAAGCUACCAAAUAGAAAUACAACAAUUGUAAAUUAUGCAGGAAUAAUGCACCGCACAAUUAUCUUCAAUUCUAAUUGAUCAGUACUCUACAUUUUUGGCUAUUUAUGGUUACUAUGAGCUUGUAUUGAAAUAGAGGACUUAU
RNAcentral lists this long non-coding RNA (825 nucleotides) under Medicago truncatula (barrel medic). RNAcentral's name for it is "lncRNA gene48783". Lineage: Eukaryota; Viridiplantae; Streptophyta; Magnoliopsida; Fabales; Fabaceae. The record is from RNAcentral.